This 500-nucleotide ribosomal RNA is filed under the name uncultured bacterium. RNAcentral's name for it is "partial 16S ribosomal RNA". It matches the Rfam family "Bacterial small subunit ribosomal RNA", at positions 30 to 523 of the family's 1533-position model. The record is from RNAcentral.
AUUGAACGCUGGCGGAAUGCUUUACACAUGCAAGUCGAACGGCAGCACGGACUUCGGUCUGGUGGCGAGUGGCGAACGGGUGAGUAAUGUAUCGGAACGUGCCCAGUCGUGGGGGAUAACGUAGUGAAAAUUACGCUAAUACCGCAUACGAUCUAUGGAUGAAAGCGGGGGAUCGCAAGACCUCGCGCGAUUGGAGCGGCCGAUAUCAGAUUAGGUAGUUGGUGGGGUAAAGGCCCACCAAGCCAACGAUCCGUAGCUGGUCUGAGAGGACGACCAGCCACACUGGAACUGAGACACGGUCCAGACUCCUACGGGAGGCAGCAGUGGAGAAUUUUGGACAAUGGGCGAAAGCCUGAUCCAGCCAUUCCGCGUGCAGGAUGAAGGCCCUCGGGUUGUAAGCUGCUUUUGUACAGAACGAAAAGGUUUCUACUAAUACUAGGAGCUCAUGACGGUACUGUAAGAAUAAGCACCGGCUAACUACGUGCCAGCAGCCGCGGUAA